CCAGAAAUAUGAUCCAGUGACUUCUGUGGGUUUUGUGUUUUGCUGGUUGGCCCCAGAAUGUGCCACAUUUUGAAAACUGUAUUUUCCAAAUCAAACUGGACCUUGUAGCCAGGCAGGGAUGGGUCUCUGCUCCCUGGUAACAAAGACAGGACAAGAGUUGCACAAGGGGAGGUUUGGAUUGGAAAUCAGGGAAAAUUCCUUCCCUGAAAGGGUGAUCAGCCUCUGCUGAGGCUGCUCGGGGAGGUGGUGGAAUCUCCAUCCCUGGAGGUGUUCAAAGAAUGUGUGGAUGUGGUUCUUUGGGGCUUGGCAGGGUUGGAAAUGGUGGGACUCAUUGAUCUUGGAGGAAUUUUCCACUAUUCUACUCACACACCAGCUUUUCUCUGUUUUUUCUUUGAUAAUUUGAGAUUUUCUUGCUGCUUAAAUUGGUGAAAACACGUUUCUCUUGAAUCUGGUGUUGAUUAAUCUGUGUUUUCCAGGUGUGACCUGUGGGAUAUUCAUUGGGAUAUUCAGAGCUGCUUUUUGGACAAACUUCCUGAUCCAGUGUUUGUUAGAAUCAUUGUUUGUGAGAAGAAACCUGGGUGUGCUCAUUUCUUGCUGAGGUUCCCUUCUCUGCAAAGACCUGCCUGACUCACUGCUUGACUUGGAAACACCCCCAGGGAUGGCUCAGCUCAGAAAUGAUCACAGACAGACACUCUUCACUUCCACCCAAUUCCACGCUGCUUGCAAAUGGAACAGGGGAAAAACUCUGCAGCCUGUGGGCUCUGACAGAAAACAGAGAUGUGACAAAGCCCAAGGACGCUGAGGUGAUUCAUGGUGUGGCACACGGGGAUGUCUCUGUUCAUUCCUGGCAUUACAGAGGAGCUUCCUGGGAAACCCCUUGAGGUGGGCUGUAAAAUCCAUCCUCAUCUGUGUGUUGAGAAGUGUCAAUGUUUGAGGAACAAAUGGCAGCCCUGGCCUGAGGCUCACUCGUGUUCUGCCCCAGGGCUGAGGGUUUGGAGGCUCAGCCCAUCCUGACUUUAUCUGUGUGUGUGCUCCCUCGGACACAGGGAAUUCAGCUGGAGCUGCUGGGAUCCUGCUGGGAUCCUGGUGGGAUUCUGGUGGCAUUCUGGUGGCAUUCUGGUGGCAUUCUGAUAGGAUCUUGGUGGGAUUUUGGUGGGAUCCUGGUGGGAUUCUGAUGGGAUUCUGAUAGGAUCUUGGUGGGAUUCUGGUGGGAUCCUGAUGGGAUUCUGGUGGGAUCCUGAUGGGAUCCUGGUGGGAUUCUGAUGGGAUUCUGAGGGGGGGGGGGGGGGGGGGGGGGGGGGGGGGGGGGGGGGGGGGGGGGGGGGGGGGGG
This 1331-nucleotide long non-coding RNA is filed under the name Ficedula albicollis (Collared flycatcher). Its description in RNAcentral is "lncRNA (ENSFALG00000024214.1)". Lineage: Eukaryota; Metazoa; Chordata; Aves; Passeriformes; Muscicapidae. The record is from RNAcentral.